Molecule: ribosomal RNA, 440 nt
Filed under: uncultured bacterium
Lineage: Bacteria
Description: partial 16S ribosomal RNA
Rfam family: Bacterial small subunit ribosomal RNA
Source: RNAcentral
CCUACGGGAGGCAGCAGUAGGGAAUAUUGCUCAAUGGGGGAAACCCUGAAGCAGCAACGCCGCGUGGAGGAUGAAGGUUUUCGGAUUGUAAACUCCUUUUGUUAGAGAAGAUAAUGACGGUAUCUAACGAAUAAGCACCGGCUAACUCCGUGCCAGCAGCCGCGGUAAUACGGAGGAUGCAAGCGUUACGCGGAAUCACUGGGCGUAAAGCGCGCGUAGGCGGGAUAGCAAGUCAGAUGUGAAAUCCUAUGGCUUAACCAUAGAACUGCAUUUGAAACUGUUAUUCUAGAGUAUGGGAGAGGUAGGUGGAAUUCGUGGUGUAGGGGUAAAAUCCGUAGAGAUCAAGAGGAAUACUCAUUGCGAAGGCGACCUGCUAGAACAUAACUGACGCUGAUGCGCGAAAGCGUGGGGAGCAAACAGGAUUAGAUACCCCAGUAGUC